Molecule: non-coding RNA, 547 nt
Organism: Linepithema humile (Argentine ant)
Lineage: Eukaryota; Metazoa; Arthropoda; Insecta; Hymenoptera; Formicidae
Source: RefSeq, a predicted model, not a curated record
AGCCAAUAAAGAAAUCUUUUAUCAAUUUUUGCAUUAAUUCCUUGGAAGUUCAAGAAAAGAUGGAUGAAUUUUUUGAGAAACCAUGAUUAGGUACUUGAAAGUAUGGAAGAUGAAUUGUAUGGAAGUCAAUGUUGAUAGUUUUUAGAAACAAAGCUUAUGUCAAGGAUCACGCAAAUCGUAAGAAAUCCGAAACGGAAAUCCAUCGCCGAAGAGAGACACUAGCAAUACUAAAUAUCCGAUGUCAAAGAAUGCGGAAAAAAUAAGCGAUCACGAUAAUUAUGCAGAAGAAUCCGGUUCUUAUUUUUCUCUCCUCAUUCUAAAAAGCUAGUACCAAGAGAACGGUAAGCAAAAAAAACAGGAGAAGAUAAAAGGAAGAAGCAAGAACGUCGAAUCAGAGUGGGGAAAGAUCUUGACAAUACGUGGAUCGUGAAUUUUCUUUGCAAUUCAUGGAAAAGACGAUAUUUUCAAUCCAGGGAACGUAAUAAGACACUUUGGAAUAAACGCCGGGUGUAUUGAUUAUCGCGCAGCCCAGACCUAAGCUAGUGAU